RNAcentral lists this ribosomal RNA (505 nucleotides) under Pestalotiopsis sp. 90_301. RNAcentral describes it as "eukaryotic LSU rRNA". The stretch from base 172 to 325 matches the Rfam family "5.8S ribosomal RNA". Lineage: Eukaryota; Fungi; Ascomycota; Sordariomycetes; Amphisphaeriales; Sporocadaceae. The record is from RNAcentral.
AUGUGAACUUACCAUUGUUGCCUCGGCAGAAGCUGCUCGGUGCACCUUACCCUGGACCGGCCUACCCUGUAGCGCCUUACCCUGGAACGGCCUACCCUGUAGCGGCUGCCGGUGGACUACCAAACUCUUGUUAUUUUAUUGUAAUCUGAGCGUCUUAUUUUAAUAAGUCAAAACUUUCAACAACGGAUCUCUUGGUUCUGGCAUCGAUGAAGAACGCAUCGAAAUGCGAUAAGUAAUGUGAAUUGCAGAAUUCAGUGAAUCAUCGAAUCUUUGAACGCACAUUGCGCCCAUUAGUAUUCUAGUGGGCAUGCCUGUUCGAGCGUCAUUUCAACCCUUAAGCCUAGCUUAGUGUUGGGAGCCUACUGCUUUUACUAGCUGUAGCUCCUGAAAUACAACGGCGGAUCUGCGAUAUCCUCUGAGCGUAGUAAAUUUUUAUCUCGCUUUUGACUGGAGUUGCAGCGUCUUUAGCCGCUAAAUCCCCCAAUUUUUAAUGGUUGACCUCGGA